GGCGGCAUCCAGCUUUGAGGUUGACCCUGACAGCAUUUAUCCAUUUUCCGUUUGGCCCUAAUUAAUUGCCAAAUCAUAGAGGUUAUAGAUAUUACCACCGGCAACAAGAUACCAAUUUCGGCUGGCGGUUGUUGAUGAACAUUAAUGAUAGGCAUGAAAUUCAAAUAACGGGUCUAAUGGUCGCUAGCAAACAGAUCAUGAUGAACCCUUCUGAGUUCUGACAGUGUGUUGUUGCUGGCAAGCAAUGCUCCAUUUCUGAUUCCUGAUCGAGCUAUUAUCUUUACUUUGUUUUCUUUAUGAUGCCAGAGCUGUUGCUGGAUUCACAUUGUAAACUUUGCUAAAGCAAAUGUUACCCUCACUUAGUUAUUCAUGGGUAAUUCCUUUAACAUAUUUGCGUCACUGUUUUAGUGCAGAUUAACUUGGGCUCCAGAAAAUGCGUCAAAGCCACUAACGAAUAGUAAGACUUGUUGAUUUACUCCACGAAGAAGUUGAACAGUUCUGCUGUGUGCAUUUGUCUCGUUCAUUGUACGUUCUUCUAGUGAUGAUGUCAAUGCUACUCUGGAGCGGUGCAUUUUCACGGUAUCAAACAUCUAUUGGAACUAUACUAACUCUAAGGAUUAUGAUUACAGCUUGUUCAUAAACUAAACAGUGCGAGGGGCCUCCAUGUAUAAAAAUCAGGAAUCAUCAUGUAGCAUGGAAGGGCUCUUGAUCAAUGACUACUGGUUUUGAAAUCCUCUUCAUCACUUUCCCUUUUAGCCUCUGCUGUUGCACCACUAAUAUGGAUGCUGUCCGUUCAAAAUCAGGCUCAGCAAGCAUGUCCCCUAUCACACCAAGUUCUGGACAACCUAUCCAAGCACCAAGGCCUUCCAAGAGAGGAGAUUCUUGGUGAUUUCUUCCUACAAGAAUCAAAUCAAAACUACCUCCUAAUCUUGUUGCAGAUGCAGCUAGUCCUACACUAUCUCUGACGAUCUCUUCUUGGAGGAGGAAACGGAAAACUGUAAGGCUGACAUGGGGAUGCAUCACCAUGCGAGCAGCAUAAGAUAGUGACUCUGCAUCAUCUGCACCACCAAUGAAGAUUACUGCAACAUGAUAUGAAGAUUGACCGUUCAAAAUGGUUCUGGAGCCACGCAGAGUUGUCCGAUCCACUAAAACAGCAACGGAGCAAGGUGACUUUUCUAUGACCUGGGCAUUCAUGUUUUGUAUGGCACGGUUUACUGAUCCAAUCGAGCCAUCAAUUUCCCAUUGCUUAUGAAAUGGUAGAAUGAUGAUGUUGGUAUUUUGAUCAAGUGCCACGCGACAAACAUCUUCGUGCAUUGUGUCAAAUUGUGAGAUAGAACUGAAUGACUGAAAGGUGACACAAGCCUCAUUGCAGAGCUCAUAUUGCCGCAAGGCAUUGAUAAUGCGGCCUGAUCUGGAGGAACUAGGCUGCAGCAAUCUGUGGGACUGAUGAGCAAUGAGCAUGGGGUUUGCCCGACCUACCAGCUCAAUGAGCAGGACGGCUAUGACUGUAACUGGGCUUUCUUCCGUUGCAUUGGAAGCUUCAAGCAGAUUCACCAUUGCGGGGACAUUCUCUUGGUUAUGGAUGCAGACUAAUAUUCUCAACUCUGUGCCGCGCUUGCAAUGCUGAAUGGUUCUCCGUCUCACUGGAGUAAGUCGCGAAGAUGGGUCAUAGAGAAGUUUGAUUAGUAGUGUUGUGAUUGCCGUGACUAGAAUCACUGACACAACACAUAAAGCAAAUGCUUCAGGUUUCAAAACCUGUCAUUUCAAAUAAAAAUGAUAAUAAUGAAAAAAAAAAAA
This is a non-coding RNA of Coffea arabica (coffee), 1797 nucleotides long. The record is from RefSeq and is a predicted model, not a curated record. Lineage: Eukaryota; Viridiplantae; Streptophyta; Magnoliopsida; Gentianales; Rubiaceae.